CACAAAAGUUUAAAAUGUUCAUGUUUUCAUUUUUUCAGGAGUUUCAAAAUAUGUUCCAGUUUCAAAAAUGGUUCGAAAAUUUCAAAAAAUGAUUGUGUUUUCAAAUUUUGUUCGGUAGUUUCAAAAUAUGUUUGCGUUUCCAACGUUGUUUUGGAAUUUUAAGAAAUAUUCCCAUUUAAAAAAAAGUUCUGUUUCAAAAAAUGUUCCUGUAUUAAAAAUAUUUUUAUUUCCAAAAACAAAAUCACAUUUUUCAGGAAAUGUUUUGAUUUCUUCCGAAAGUGCUUUCAUAUGUGAAUGCGGCUUUGAGUUCUUAUAAUAUUCGCGCUAUAUACCAUAAUUACACCCGUCUGGUCUAGUGGCGUACUGCUAUCACCUCGAACCCGAGGUCACGAGCUCGGAUACUCGCGACCCCUCUACUUUAACAGCUUUUUUUAGUGAUGUGCGCGUAGUUUAGUGAUGGGCAGGCCCAAUGGAGACAUUGUGUGCGUCGCUCCAACUAUUUGUCGCAGAAGGCGGCAAAUAGGAGCUUCCCUAGGUGAUUACCUAACAGACCCUUAAUGAGUGAUUUCGGGAUUCCAGGACUGGGCUGGCGCCUGAUCAUCUAUACAUCUGUAGCAUGGGUCGCGGGUCACCACAUCUGAUUUUGUUACCCCCGGCCCUAUAUAGAGUGCGCGAUGCAUUUUUUCUGAACCGGUAAAAGAGAAAAGCAGUCCAUCCCGAAAAGCCCGAAAACAAAAAGAUAGAAAAACGCAGGCCACUAGCUCCUCCCGAGCCUCCCUCCCAGUGCGCCGCCGCCUCCCUUCCCGCUCGCCGGACUGAUAGCACAAGUAGCAGUGGGACUGACUGGGAGUGAUCCCUGAACCACUUCAUCAGGGGCCGUGGUUUCCAACAAUGCUAAUGCUACUAGAAAGUGCUAGUGGCCAUGAAGCCUCUCGGCUUUCCCAAUAAGGAGGUUUGGCCAGUCCUGAAGCGCCUCCUCAAGCUCUUCGAGGAUAACUGGGCGUCCAUCGAGGACGGGAGCUACCGCAUCCUUGUUGACACCAUACGGGAUGACAAAAGCAAUGAACGAAUACCUACAACUACCGGUCAUGUUAAAAAUGCUACUUUCAUUAGUUUGGUAGCCUUCCUUAAUUACCACUUGAUGCUCAACCUUUCCAAUUGUAGUUUUCACUUAAGGUGACGUGCCAAAAAGAGUAAAAGCCUCACAACUCAAUGCGGUCAGACCAGAUGACCAACACCUCUCCUGCUCGGUAUGACAAGGAUGACGGUGAUAAUGAAAACCUCCCUCACAGAAGAGCGGCCGGGUGCACCUUGCCAUCUACAUUUCAGAGCCCAUCAGUAUUCAUGUGGACUUCAAAUAAUGACUAUUCUUGUAGGAGGUUUGAAGCUUAUCGUGGAGCAAGUUCAAGAGAUUAGUUUCGUGAAAAUAAAUGUGAUCUUUUGGUCAGGAUUUUGCAUGAUCCAUAGCCAUCGGUGGCAACAGGGAGCAGUUCGAGGCCUCAUGCGUGAGUCGUCCAUUGUCUUCUAUGUGUGAGCUUGUUGUCUCUACACAUCUAGCAUCAGAGUAUCUCCUCCCCUUGCCGCACACACAUGCCAGGCGGUCGAGCUAGUGUUGUUUGUGAUAAUGGUUGUGACUCUUGCGUUGUCAUUGGACAAAGAAUUGGUUCUGUAACUAUGUAUUUGCAGGACCUUUAGCAAAUAUUGUUGUGUUAUGAGUAUUCUGAUGUGGGCCAAAAUGAUGAGCAUUUAAACAUCAGCCCGAAUUAAUAAAACUGAUAAGUUCUACUUACAAUAAACGGAUGAACCUAGAUGCAACAAAGCUCUGCCAUUAGCCGUGGGGAUUAUCAGUUCAUGUGUAUUGUGUUCUUUUUGUUGGUUAAUGUAUUUUCUUGUUUGUCAGGUCGUGUGCAAGUUUGUUAUUAGUUCAUGUGUAUGUGUAUUGGUGAUCGCUGCUAUUGCUGCUAGCUAUCGAUCAGACUGUGGUAUUACUUCGGCUGCUCCAUGUAAUUAGCCCCUUUGUUGGGUGAAUCUCCUACUACUUGCUAGCUUUGGAAUUGUAAAAACACAAUAAGUUCACAAUUUAAAAAGUUGUAAGUUCAACACGACGUCCUAGAUAAGUUUUAGGAAAAGCUGAAACACAAAGAAAACCAAAAGAAAUUCAAAUGGUAACGUUCAAGUCGUGGGAUGAAAGAAGUCCAGAACAACGUUGACAAUGUUAGAGUUGACACAUAAUAUUUUUCUUUAAAUAAAAUGUCAUUCACUUCAACGAUAUAAAACCAUGCAAGUUCGGGGAGGAUAAUAUCGUAAACCGUUGAAAAGUUAUAAGGAAAACGAUACCGCAAAAACAGAGUAAAGUCUAGUAUGUGAAAAACACGCUCAGUACAAAACC
This is a long non-coding RNA of Aegilops tauschii subsp. strangulata, 2389 nucleotides long. RefSeq lists it as uncharacterized. NCBI's taxonomy places the organism in Eukaryota, Viridiplantae, Streptophyta, Magnoliopsida, Poales, Poaceae. The record is from RefSeq and is a predicted model, not a curated record.